Molecule: small nucleolar RNA, 107 nt
Filed under: Gossypium arboreum
Lineage: Eukaryota; Viridiplantae; Streptophyta; Magnoliopsida; Malvales; Malvaceae
Description: Plant small nucleolar RNA R71
Rfam family: Plant small nucleolar RNA R71
About the family: R71 is a member of the C/D box family of snoRNAs containing the C (UGAUGA) and D (CUGA) box motifs. Multiple nearly identical copies of this snoRNA have been identified in Arabidopsis, and it is thought to function as a 2'-O-ribose methylation guide for 18S ribosomal RNA.
Source: Rfam by way of RNAcentral
AACCCAUGGUAAGGGAACUUUUUCAAAAGGUCCUUGUAUCUCUCCCAUGCAUCGUAGAGUGUCUCUAAAUCCAUCUGCACAAAAGAAGAGAUAUCAUUACGUAAUUU